CGAGCACGCGCGUGUGGCAUAUCAAUAAGCGGAGGAAAAGAAACUAACAAGGAUUCCCUUAGUAACGGCGAGUGAAGCGGGAAGAGCUCAAAUUUGAAAUCUUCAAGGUUCUACCUUGACGAAUUGUAGUUUAUAGAAGUGUUUUCUGUUAGUGGAGUGGCAAAAGUUCUUUGGAAUAGGACAUCAUAGAGGGUGAGAAUCCCGUAUUUGGUCAUUCCUUCCUAGCGUUGUGAUACACUUUCAACGAGUCGGAUUGUUUGGGAAUGCAGUCCAAAAUGGGUGGUAAAUUUCAUCUAAAGCUAAAUAUUGGCGAGAGACCGAUAGCGAACAAGUACCGUGAGGGAAAGAUGAAAAGAACUUUGAAAAGAGAGUUAAACAGUACGUGAAAUUGUCAAAAGGGAAGCGUUUGACACCAGUGUUGUUUUUCCGAAAAUCAAUUACGAAUGUUUUGUUUUUAAGGAGUUAUGACUUCAUCGGCUUGCUUCUUUCUUUAUGAAACUUUCUUAAUGCACUUUUCGGUUAACAAGUCAACAUCAAUUUCUUUUGUUGUAAAAGGGUAUGAGGAAGGUGGCUUUCUUUUCGGAGAGAAGUGUUUAUAGCCUUGUGCCUCUGCAAUCGGAGAGAUUGAGGUCUGCAGCGUAGAUCCUUCGGGGUUAGAUACAGUUUGUGCUAAGUUAUAGCUUUUCAUAGACAACAUGUUGACUAUGUUAGUCAUGUAGCUUACUCGCUGAAGUGCUAUUUUACCUACGCUUAGGAUGUUGAACUCUAUCACACACAG
Molecule: ribosomal RNA, 778 nt
Filed under: uncultured Neocallimastigales
Lineage: Eukaryota; Fungi; Neocallimastigomycota; Neocallimastigomycetes; Neocallimastigales
Description: partial large subunit ribosomal RNA
Rfam family: Eukaryotic large subunit ribosomal RNA
Source: RNAcentral